RNAcentral lists this transfer RNA (69 nucleotides) under Phascolosoma esculenta. RNAcentral's name for it is "tRNA-Asn". The record is from RNAcentral. Lineage: Eukaryota; Metazoa; Annelida; Sipuncula; Phascolosomatiformes; Phascolosomatidae.
UGAACAGAAGCAAUUAUUUUGCACCUGACUGUUACUCAGGAGUUAGUCAUUUUAAUCUGACCUGUUCAU